Molecule: ribosomal RNA, 394 nt
Filed under: uncultured bacterium
Lineage: Bacteria
Description: partial 16S ribosomal RNA
Rfam family: Bacterial small subunit ribosomal RNA
Source: RNAcentral
CCUACGGGUGGCAGCAGUGAGGAAUAUUGGUCAAUGGCCGCAGGUCUGAACCAGCCAAGCCGCGUGCGGGAUGACGGUUCUAUGGAUUGUAAACUUCUUUUGUACGGGAGUAAACGCCGCCACGUGUGGCGCUUUGCGAGUAUCUGACGAAAAAGCAUCGGCUAACUCCGUGCCAGCAGCCGCGGUAAUACGGAGGAUGCGAGCGUUAUCCGGAUUUAUUGGGUUUAAAGGGUGCGUGGGCGGAAGGUCAAGUGAGAGGUAAAAUUUCGGGGCUCAACCCCGUCGUGCCGUUGAAACUGGCGUUCUAGAGAAAACGAGAGGUAGGCGGAAUGCGUGGUGUAGCGGUGAAAUGCAUAGAGAUCACGCAGAACUCCGAUUGCGAAGGCAGCAUACC